Molecule: long non-coding RNA, 2797 nt
Organism: Arachis stenosperma
Lineage: Eukaryota; Viridiplantae; Streptophyta; Magnoliopsida; Fabales; Fabaceae
Exons: 11
Source: RefSeq, a predicted model, not a curated record
CUUCAUUUCACACCCCACUUACGCGAUUCCACGCUCAUCCCCUCUGAAUGCUUCAUCGGCGGCGCUAUCAGCCUUGCUCCGCCGUCUCACCGAACCUCUAUUGCACUCAACUUCCAUCGGCUUUGCUCACAUCCCGUCGCACCCCUUCCCGGUUCAUCUUUGUCGCACCCCUUCGGUUGGUCUUGCUCGCAUCGCUCCCUUUCGAACCCUAAUGUGCGUUUCUCUCUUCGUUCUCACCACUAGUGCUUGCUCUUUUCCGUGUGUUGCUGUGUUUCUCUCUUCAAUCUUGCCUCGGUUGUACAGGAAAAGAUACUAAUGCUACUGAUAUGGGAAAUAAGGGUAGUUGGUUUUUUGCAAUAACGAGGGUUUUCACACACCACUCUAAGGAGAAGCAAGUACCUAAUGAUUCGGAGAACAAAAGCUCGAAAGAUAAGAAGAAGAAAGGCCUAAGAAAACUAAGGCAUGGAGAGACCAAUUCAUUCAUCCCCCUCUUCAGAGAGCCAUGCAGCAUUGAGAAAAUUUUUGGCGACUUCGAAAGAGAGCAACAAUUACUAUCUGUAAGGCCUCCAACGCCUCUGGAGCAACCAAAACCAGCCCCUGUUGUCCCUCCUAGAGCUGCUUCUCCAAGGGCUCCUUCUCCGAGGGCUCCAUCUCCAAGAGCUGCGUAUUUUAUCUACCAAUUGGAACUACUGCAUUAUUUAUUUUUAUUUAUUUUCUCCUGCUCUAGUUGAGAAUGUUCGAGGAGAUGGGCUUCAAGGUUGAUCACUCCAGUCCUAUAUAUAAGCGCUUUCGUCUGAAAAUACUUGGCCCAUUUGAAUCCGGAAUAACUAGUACUGGUUCGCCAGCAUCUGGUGGAAAAGUUAGGAGUGCAAUUGCUGAAGUUAUUACUGCCUCCAUCCUUUCACGACUUCACAUUCUGGCACGUUUUGAUUAUAAUAUUUAAAUAGAUUGCUCGUUCUUUUUGUGUCUCCUCAGUCAGUUUCUUUUUCCUGAUUGUUUUUCAUUUCCAAGGUGAAUUUAACAAAGGCAGAAAGGGAGACAAGGUUGCAAAUGGAAAGGCUAAUGCUUCAAAAAGCCCAUCAGACCCUGGAAUUGAUCAAAAACUUCCAGAAAAUAUCAAAUGCCUAAUGGGAGGGAAUGAGGGAAUGAGGGAUGUUAUGUUAGGCUAAUUUCCCUUUGCCAAAAUUUAAAAGUAGAAUGUGUUUAUCAAUCUCUACUAAUCAUGAUUUUCUUACUAUACUUUCAGGUACAUAGAUGGCCAAGAAUGGGAGGGCAUAGAUUCAUAGGAAUUAUAUUUUUGCAUCAAUUUGGUGUCUAUGGAUUGCAACAAGUAGCAAGAUAUUUAGAGACAAAAUGGUUAACAGGAGUGAAAGCUCUAUAGCUAUGAGUGCCUUCCAUGUAGAUUACACACCUGAGAAAAGUGGUUUUUAUAAUAUACAUGUAUAUUAUGGAAAUGUCUUAUUGAAUAAGGGUCAUACACUCAGAAAAGAAGUAAAAGCAGGUGAAUUUAAUGGUUCCUUAUCAAAUGUGGUCAAGUUUUCUUCUAAGGUGGCAAAGAUGUCAGAAAAUGAAAUACUAGUGCAGCUUAUGGAUUCAUUUGCAAACCCUGUUCUUGCAUAACAAUCAAGGUUGAAGUUGGAGACUACUUCAGCUAACAAAUCUCUUUUUUAAACUUUGGACAUUAAGGAUAACAAGGAUGGUUCAUACAAUUGUACCUAUAUGGCUAAAGAUAUUGGAACUUAUGAGAUUUGUGCUUCCUUUGAUGGCAAGGAUAUUCUGCCAUGUCCCUUCAGUAUCAAUGUGUAUAGCAGUGAGUAUUUUUCCAAAGCCAACAAUGAUAUAGUAUCUGUUUUGGAGGAUCAAUCAAUUGCCAUUUAUGCUUUAGCAAAUGCUUAUAGAGAAGGAGUUCCAUGAUGCAUUGGAUAAUUUGCUUGAGGUGUUGGGGUCAAAUCUCCCUUUUUCCUAGUUGUUCAGGGAACAGUGGUGGCCCAGCAAUUAUGGGCAAUAAGGUUGCUGGAGUAGCAUUCCAAAAUCUUUCAGGAGCUGAGAAUAUAGGAAGAAAAAGGAAAGUAUACUGGAUUUUGCUCUCUGGGUUUGUCGUGCCAGCCAACUGAGAAUGUUCACCUUAGAAACCAUUUUGGCAUGCAACCUGACAUGACAGGGGUGCUAGUAAGCAAAAUUAACCCACUUUCAGAUGCACACAAUGUUCUGAAGAAAGAUGAUAUUAUACUUUCAUUUGAUGAAGUGCCUAUAGCAAAUGAUGGUACAGUUCCUUUCUGAAAUAGAGAGCGGAUAACAUUUGAUUACUUGGUGUCUAUGAAGCUGCCAAAUAAAAACGCAAUAGUCAGAGUUUUGCGGGAUGGGAAAGAGCAUGAACUUGAUAUCAUUCUCAGACCAGUACCACUAUUUCAGCACAUGAAUGAUCUGGUCUUUAGAGAUCGUGUGAAGAAAGUUGGGAUGAUGAAGAAGAAGCAGUAGCAACAGAAAGAGCAAGUGAAGUGAAUUUUGCAGAUGAGAUAAGUGGAAUUAACACAGGACUUCCUUCACCAACUUCAUCUAAUGAAUCCUCUGUUACAAGUUAAUUAUUAGAGCAGCGAAAAUUGUUCAAAUGAGUUAGGAAAUUGAAUAGGGAAUUGCUUGCAACAUAGUUCUUUUAAUUUACUAGUAUGAGGAAAAUUAUUUAGAGCCUUUCGGAUGUCCAUUAACAACUUUUAAUUUACUCAAUACACUUUGUUGAUGUAUGGUUGUUAUUUAUUAUUAUAGUUGAUGUAUCAAUACACUUUGUUUAUGUUUUGAA